This 252-nucleotide ribosomal RNA is filed under the name uncultured bacterium. RNAcentral describes it as "partial 16S ribosomal RNA". It matches the Rfam family "Bacterial small subunit ribosomal RNA", at positions 524 to 776 of the family's 1533-position model. The record is from RNAcentral.
UACGGAGGAUGCGAGCGUUAUCCGGAUUUAUUGGGUUUAAAGGGUGCGCAGGCGGCACGGCAAGCCGGCGGUCAAAUCGCGGGGCUCUACCCCGCCCAGCCGUCGGAACUGCCGGGCUAGAGUGGGCGAGAAGUGCGCGGAAUGCGUGGUGUAGCGGUGAAAUGCAUAGAUAUCACGCAGAACUCCGAUUGCGAAGGCAGCGCACCGGCGCCCUACUGACGCUCAGGCACGAAAGCGUGGGUAUCGAACAGG